GACGAACGCUGGCGGCGUGCUUAACACAUGCAAGUCGAACGGAAAGGCCCUGCUUUUGUGGGGUGCUCGAGUGGCGAACGGGUGAGUAACACGUGAGUAACCUGCCCUUGACUUUGGGAUAACUUCAGGAAACUGGGGCUAAUACCGGAUAGGAGCUCCUGCUGCAUGGUGGGGGUUGGAAAGUUUCGGCGGUUGGGGAUGGACUCGCGGCUUAUCAGCUUGUUGGUGGGGUGGUGGCUUACCAAGGCUUUGACGGGUAGCCGGCCUGGGAGGGUGACCGGCCACAUUGGGACUGAGAUACGGCCCAGACUCCUACGGGAGGCAGCAGUGGGGAAUAUUGCACAAUGGGCGGAAGCCUGAUGCAACAACGCCGCGUGCGGGAUGACGGCCUUCGGGUUGUAAACCGCUUUCGCCUGUGACGAAGCGUGAGUGACGGUAAUGGGUAAAGAAGCACCGGCUAACUACGUG
RNAcentral lists this ribosomal RNA (468 nucleotides) under uncultured bacterium. RNAcentral describes it as "partial 16S ribosomal RNA". It matches the Rfam family "Bacterial small subunit ribosomal RNA", at positions 28 to 507 of the family's 1533-position model. The record is from RNAcentral.